This 374-nucleotide ribosomal RNA is filed under the name barley rhizosphere bacterium LJ94. RNAcentral's name for it is "bacterial SSU rRNA". It matches the Rfam family "Bacterial small subunit ribosomal RNA", at positions 104 to 472 of the family's 1533-position model. The record is from RNAcentral.
GGGUGAUUAACACGUGGGCAACCUGCCUAUAAGACUGGGAUAAUUUCGGGAAACCGGAGUUAAUACCGGAUACGUUCUUUUCUCGCAUGAGAGAAGAUGGAAAGACGGUUUUGCUGUCACUUAUAGAUGGGCCCGCGGCGCAUUAGCUAGUUGGUGAGGUAAUGGCUCUCCAAGGCGACGAUGCGUAGCCGACCUGAGAGGGUGAUCGGCCACAUUGGGACUGAGACACGGCCCAGACUCCUACGGGAGGCAGCAGUAGGGAAUCUUCCGCAAUGGACGAAAGUCUGCACGGAGCAACGCCGCGUGAACGAAGAAGGCCUUCGGGUCGUAAAGUUCUGUUGUUAGGGAAGAACAAGUACCAGAGUAACUGCUGG